RNAcentral lists this long non-coding RNA (1104 nucleotides) under Daucus carota (carrot). RNAcentral's name for it is "long non-coding RNA (DCAR_LNC004022)". Lineage: Eukaryota; Viridiplantae; Streptophyta; Magnoliopsida; Apiales; Apiaceae. The record is from RNAcentral.
AUAUAUAUAUAGAGUCAUGCUCCAGUGAGAACCAAUGUUAGUGUGAGAUAUGAGAUCUAAUCUCAGCCACACAAUUUAUACCUUAUAUCAAUCUCUCAUCACACAUUAAUUUUUAAUUUCUAAAUAUUUUAGCAUCAUCUUCAUUCUAAUUCCACCACUGCCACCUUCAACCACCGCCGACCACCAUUUCCGGUCACCACCACCUCCGGCGACCACCGGAAAAUCACCACCGACAAACAUAAAAUCACCACCAUCAAACCGAAAAUGACCAUCGGAAAACUAAAAAUCACCGCUGGAAAAAUGAAAAUCACCACAUCACCACCAUCUACAAACCACCACCACUAUCUACAAACCCCCAAAUCUGAAAAAUUAUCAACUACAAAGUAAAAUCAGCUCCAAAAAACAAAAAUCACCACCGCAAAACAAAAAAUCACCACCAGUAAAGGAAAAAAUCAACACCAGAAAAAUAAAAUCACCAACGCCAAAAUAGAUCCAACAAUUAAUAGCGUCUCCAGCGACACAACGGCAACACCCACUUCAACGCAUCUCCACCUUCAAACACCACCCCUCCACCACCGAUUAACCCUUUCUUCCCUUGUUUCCUCCUUCGCCUCCGAUCUUGUCUUCUCCUUUUUCAUCUUCGUUGACUUCAACUCCACCUCCUUCUCCUCCACCGGCUCCUUCAUCGUCAUCGCCAAGAAGCUCUACACCAAUACAGUUGCUGAUUAGCCUGAUUGUGUCGCUGGGGAAGGCAGCGGCGUUUUCACCGCCGGUGGAUUGUGUCACUGUAAAGGCGGCGAAGUUUUCACCGCUGGUGGAUGGGUCGAGGAAGGUAGAAGGAGACGGAAGGGACAAAGAUGACGGGAGAAGGAGAAUGGAGAGAGAGAUGGAGAGCACAGUGGAGGGGAUGAACAGGUCUGAUUGAAGAUUGACGUCGGAGGUGAAGAACAAUGUUAUCGACGACAAAAAGCGGUGGUGUGGGGAUUGGGGAUGAAAUGAGAAGAUAAAUAGUCAAGCACGUGGUUAGGAGAGAAAAAAUGUGAGGGUGUGAUUAAAAGUUGUAUUAUAAAUAAAGGGCUGAGAUUAGAUCUCAUAUCUCACAUG